This 87-nucleotide signal recognition particle RNA is filed under the name Candidatus Ancillula prorhinotermitis. RNAcentral's name for it is "signal recognition particle sRNA small type". It matches the Rfam family "Bacterial small signal recognition particle RNA". From Rfam's summary of the family: The signal recognition particle (SRP) is a universally conserved ribonucleoprotein involved in the co-translational targeting of proteins to membranes. Archaeal SRP consists of a 7S RNA and homologues of the eukaryotic SRP19 and SRP54 proteins. Lineage: Bacteria; Bacillati; Actinomycetota; Actinomycetes; Bifidobacteriales; Bifidobacteriaceae. The record is from RNAcentral.
UACCUAGCGUGGGCACUAACCUCUGAACCUCCCCAGGGCAGGAAUGCAGCAAGGAUAAGAUGCGUUGGUGUGGUGCGCUAGGCUUUA